Molecule: ribosomal RNA, 253 nt
Filed under: uncultured bacterium
Lineage: Bacteria
Description: partial 16S ribosomal RNA
Rfam family: Bacterial small subunit ribosomal RNA
Source: RNAcentral
GACGUAGGAUGCAAGCGUUGUCCGGAAUUAUUGGGCGUAAAGAGUUCGUAGGCGGUUAUCUAAGUCUGAUGUUAAAUCCUGAAGCUCAACUUCGGCAUGGCAUUGGAAACUGGGUAGCUAGAGUGUGGUAGAGGUCUCGGGAAUUCCUGGUGUAGCGGUGAAAUGCGUAGAUAUCCGGAGGAACACCAGUGGCGAAAGCGGCCACCUGGACUGCACCUGACGCUGACACGCGAAAGCUAGGGGAGCGAACGGG